AGGGGCUUAGGAUAGCACCAGACCGGAAGCCUUCAAAGCUUUUAGCGGGGGUGAGAAUCCCCCAGCCCCUG
Molecule: transfer RNA, 71 nt
Filed under: Galaxias platei
Lineage: Eukaryota; Metazoa; Chordata; Actinopteri; Galaxiiformes; Galaxiidae
Description: tRNA-Trp
Rfam family: tRNA
About the family: Transfer RNA (tRNA) molecules are approximately 80 nucleotides in length. Their secondary structure includes four short double-helical elements and three loops (D, anti-codon, and T loops). Further hydrogen bonds mediate the characteristic L-shaped molecular structure. tRNAs have two regions of fundamental functional importance: the anti-codon, which is responsible for specific mRNA codon recognition, and the 3' end, to which the tRNAs corresponding amino acid is attached (by aminoacyl-tRNA synthetases). tRNAs cope with the degeneracy of the genetic code in two manners: having more than one tRNA (with a specific anti-codon) for a particular amino acid; and 'wobble' base-pairing, i.e. permitting non-standard base-pairing at the 3rd anti-codon position.
Source: RNAcentral